Molecule: long non-coding RNA, 474 nt
Organism: Stomoxys calcitrans (stable fly)
Lineage: Eukaryota; Metazoa; Arthropoda; Insecta; Diptera; Muscidae
Exons: 3
Source: RefSeq, a predicted model, not a curated record
UUCUUCACAUCAUAAUAUACUCGGUAGAUUAAAUCUUAAUUUAAAAUCAUGCAAAAUUGUUCUUUCCCCCAUCUCCGACAUACAUUAUGUUGGGCCAUUGCAACUUCAUUUAUGAGGCUUAAAGGCAUGUCAAUGACUUCCGUUUCCAUGCUCGAAAGGCAGUACAAAAAGAGAAGAACGAUGUUGGUAAAAUCUUUUGAUUCCAUUUAGCAAAUAUGCAUAACAUUACAUCGUUUAUUAUGUGGACUCACUCUCCGAAUGUCUCUUCCUGUCCUAAAUUUUUGUCUUGUGGUCUUGGCCAAGAAUUUCUCUCGCAUUGAAAGGAACAAUGACAACAACGACAGCAAAUACUUACACUUGCCAAGUGGCCAAGCCAUAAACUUAUGAAUGCGAUACGUUCUCGCUGGCGCGCACCAUAUCCUGCCACCAAAACAUCCAACAUAUUGUGUGUAAGAGAGUAUGAGUGUGUGUGCG